Molecule: ribosomal RNA, 461 nt
Filed under: uncultured bacterium
Lineage: Bacteria
Description: bacterial SSU rRNA
Rfam family: Bacterial small subunit ribosomal RNA
Source: RNAcentral
UGGCGGCAUGGAUAGGCAUGCAAGUCGAACGUGCUCCCGUUCGGGGAGAAAGUGGCGAAAGGGUGAGUAACACGUGAGCAACCUGCCUCCGGAUCCGGAAUAAUCCAGGGAAACUUGGUCUAAAACCGGAUGAAGACAUUGGUCCGCAUGGUCUAAUGUUAAAAUAUUUAUAGUCCGGAGAGGGGCUCGCGGCCCAUUAGCUUGUUGGCGGGGUAAUGGCCCACCAAGGCUACGACGGGUAGGUGGUCUGAGAGGAUGGUCACCCACACUGGGACUGAGACACUGCCCAGACUCCUACGGGAGGCUGCAGUCGAGAAUCUUCCGCAAUGGGCGCAAGCCCUGACGGAGCGAUGCCGCGUGAGGGAUGAAGGCCUUCGGGUUGUAAACCUCUGUCAUCCGGGAACGAAAACAAUGACGGUACCGGAAAAGGAAGCCACGGCUAACCACGUGCCAGCAGCAGC